UACGUAGGGUGCAAGCGUUGUCCGGAAUUAUUGGGCGUAAAGAGCUUGUAGGCGGUUUGUCGCGUCUGCUGUGAAAUUUCGGGGCUCAACCCCGAACUUGCAGUGGGUACGGGCAGACUAGAGUGUGGUAGGGGAGACUGGAAUUCCUGGUGUAGCGGUGAAAUGCGCAGAUAUCAUGAGGAACACCGAUGGCGAAGGCAGGUCUCUGGGCCACUACUGACGCUGAGAAGCGAAAGCAUGGGGAGCGAACAGG
RNAcentral lists this ribosomal RNA (253 nucleotides) under uncultured bacterium. RNAcentral describes it as "partial 16S ribosomal RNA". It matches the Rfam family "Bacterial small subunit ribosomal RNA", at positions 524 to 776 of the family's 1533-position model. The record is from RNAcentral.